GUGUCAGCCGCCGCGGUAAUACGGGGGGAGCAAGCGUUGUUCGGAUUUACUGGGCGUAAAGGGCGCGUAGGCGGCCACUGCAAGUCAAUUGUGAAAUCUCCGGGCUUAACUCGGAAAGGUCAACUGAUACUGCAGGGCUAGAGUGCAGAAGGGGCAACUGGAAUUCUCGGUGUAGCGGUGAAAUGCGUAGAUAUCGAGAGGAACACCUGCGGCGAAGGCGGGUUGCUGGGCUGACACUGACGCUGAGUGUGCGAAAGCUAGGGGAGCGAACGGGAUUAGAUACCCGCGUAGUCC
This 294-nucleotide ribosomal RNA is filed under the name uncultured bacterium. RNAcentral's name for it is "partial 16S ribosomal RNA". It matches the Rfam family "Bacterial small subunit ribosomal RNA", at positions 505 to 796 of the family's 1533-position model. The record is from RNAcentral.